GACUGCAAAUUUCGACCUCUUGCACUGGUACAUUGCUAAUUUAGUGAUCAAUGACAGUGACGAUUCUUCUCAUGAUUCGCUCUGCUGAUUUGAUGCUUUAAUUAUCUAUAUGCUUCUGGAAAUUGUAUGCGUUGUUUGUCAACAGUUGACAUUUAGAUGGCAGAGGUAGUAUAGAUGCUUUCUAGGUUGAAGUUUAUUUUCCACCGAAUUAAUGCGGUUGAUUUUCUCCAAAAUGAAAAAUAAAAAUUAUCUGCGGACUUUAGAUACGCCUGCAGACGUCCCGAUCUGUCUGUGCAAGGUGUUUAUUGAGAUUUAUUGCCUGAGAAGGUAGUAAUAAUGAUAUUUCUAGAUGAUUCUUAAUUAGAAGUUUGACAAUUUGCUAUAAGUGAAACUUAUCAAAUCUUGUGGGAGUGUUAGUGCAAUAGUAAGGACAUUGUAUGUAUUUUGGAAUCACGAAGCAUGCAAAAUUUCGAAAAGAUAAGUUAUAGUAGCAUUUUAUUGAUUAGGACAGAAGAUGAACUCCAGAGAAGUGUUUUCAGUGUUAAAAUUAGUUAUAUUUCUAUUUUCUUGUCUAUGUGGAUAAGUUGAUUAAGGAGAAACAAUAAGUUACAAAAAAAAAGUGUUUCUGGAAAGGGGAAGCUCACAAGUCAUUUGCAAUUGCAACCUAGUUUGGAGCAGUGGUAGCUCGACCAAAAUAAAGAAAAUACUCUAGAUACAAAAUGAACCUUUCCACUUAGAUAGGUGUGAGGAAAAAAGGCUUUUGAUCAAAUACAUCUAUCCUCAUUGAGAGGAGCUGGAAACCCGAAGAUGGAAGAAUUCAUUUGAAGUCAUUAUAAUGCACUUACUUAACAAAGAGCGGUGUAGGUUUCAGAGAAUGGAAAAAAAGAAAAGAAAAAGAAGAUCAAAUAGACAUGGAAUAACCUGUGGAGGCUUUCCUCCCAUCGUUAUUCUCCAAAAUUGCCUCUAUGUUGACUGAUUGAGACUUGACUUGGGAUAGCAGAAAACCAUAUUUAUCCCAAAUCCUUUUACCUCAUUUGUGUUUUGAACUUGAGCUGGUAUAAGAAGUGAACAUAAAGACAUGCCUUUUGAUGAAAAAAACCUGAGGUGGAUCUGGAUUCUUAAUCUGAUAAAGACAGACCUGCUUGUCAAUCUGCAAAUUCAUUGAGAGAUGGUGCAAUAAGCAAAAGGGUUGGUGUAGUUUUGCAAAUGUAUUAAACUAGAGAUAUCAGUAGCUACUAUUACUAUUACUAUACAACACGUUUUAUAAACUAACUCUGUAUAAGUUAUUGUUGCAGAUAUGGUUUGAUUCGAUCAUUGAUUAUUAGGGAUUUUUUAUCCAUUAUAAUAUGCUAUACAGAUAAGCAAACCUUACAGUAACGAUAAUGGGAAGAAGGAUCCAUCAAGUCUUCAACAUGCCAACCGGGGAGAGUCUCCAUUAAGUACUCCGAUAUGCUACUGGUCGAGUCUGAAGCUUGCUCACCGGUGGGCAGGCUCGACUCAUUCUCCCUCGUAGGGUUUGAUGAUGUCUCUGAACAAUUUGCAUUAUUUGAGUUUGCAUUAGCGACUGAAGUUCUGAACUCUAUUCCAGAUUGUGAACCACUGGAUGACGUAGCACCUUGAUACGAAGAAAUGGCUGCAGAAAGCUUGACCCCAGUUAGAAGAAACCUAUUAUGUUUCUUGGUGAGUUCGUUGGCCUUGUGUAUUGGUACAUCACAUUCUCGACAAAGUAAAGCCCUGUCUUCUUGACAAAACAGUAACGCUUGUCUUUCCUGUACAAGUAUAUAUGAUUCCGUUACUCAAAUUAUCAGUUUGUUGUAAAAGAUUGUGCUCUUUUUGAAAAUCUCAACAUUGAAGUGGUGAUUCGAAACGAGUUAAUGACAAUGUAUGUUUAUAAACCUGGCAAAUGUCGCAGCGUGGAGAUUCUUUCAACUGAGGAUUAAGAAGAGAGAAACGAGGAUGCUUGCUCGCGAGCUUAUUGGCGUUAUGAACUCGGUCGUCGCAAUUCUGGCAGAGGGCGGCUUCAUCGGCUGUGCAGAAUACGGCUGCUGCUUCUUUCCCACAAACGUCGCAUUGAAUCUUCAUUU
This 2084-nucleotide long non-coding RNA is filed under the name Salvia miltiorrhiza (redroot sage). Its description in RNAcentral is "long non-coding RNA (SMIL_LNC012045)". The record is from RNAcentral. Lineage: Eukaryota; Viridiplantae; Streptophyta; Magnoliopsida; Lamiales; Lamiaceae.